CGGACGGGUGAGUAAUGUCUGGGAAACUGCCUGAUGGAGGGGGGUAACUACUGGAAAUGGUAGCUAAUACCGCAUAACGUCGCAAGACCAAAGAGGGGGACCUUCGGGCCUCUUGCCAUCGGAUGUGCCCAGAUGGGAUUAGCUAGUAGGUGGGGUAACGGCUCACCUAGGCGACGAUCCCUAGCUGGUCUGAGAGGAUGACCAGCCACACUGGAACUGAGACACGGUCCAG
RNAcentral lists this ribosomal RNA (232 nucleotides) under uncultured bacterium. RNAcentral describes it as "partial 16S ribosomal RNA". It matches the Rfam family "Bacterial small subunit ribosomal RNA", at positions 99 to 334 of the family's 1533-position model. The record is from RNAcentral.